AUGCCUAUUUCACCAGUUUAUUUUCCAAAAUUGGAGUAAUACAGAGAUGAUUAGCAAGUUCUCCAUGUGAGGAUAACAUGCAAAUCCAUAAAGGGAUAUGUCUUGGU
This 107-nucleotide small nuclear RNA is filed under the name Loxodonta africana (African savanna elephant). The record is from RNAcentral. Lineage: Eukaryota; Metazoa; Chordata; Mammalia; Proboscidea; Elephantidae.